AACGAACGCUGGCGGCAUGCCUAACACAUGCAAGUCGAACGAAGGCUUCGGCCUUAGUGGCGCACGGGUGCGUAACGCGUGGGAAUCUGCCCUUUGGUUCGGAAUAACAGCUGGAAACGGCUGCUAAUACCGGAUGAUGACGAAAGUCCAAAGAUUUAUCGCCAGAGGAUGAGCCCGCGUUGGAUUAGGUAGUUGGUGGGGUAAAGGCCCACCAAGCCGACGAUCCAUAGCUGGUCUGAGAGGAUGAUCAGCCACACUGGGACUGAGACACGGCCCAGACUCCUACGGGAGGCAGCAGUGGGGAAUAUUGGACAAUGGGCGCAAGCCUGAUCCAGCAAUGCCGCGUGAGUGAUGAAGGCCCUAGGGUUGUAAAGCUCUUUUACCCGGGAAGAUAAUGACUGUACCGGGAGAAUAAGCCCCGGCUAACUCCGUG
RNAcentral lists this ribosomal RNA (433 nucleotides) under uncultured bacterium. Its description in RNAcentral is "partial 16S ribosomal RNA". It matches the Rfam family "Bacterial small subunit ribosomal RNA", at positions 29 to 507 of the family's 1533-position model. The record is from RNAcentral.